RNAcentral lists this transfer RNA (76 nucleotides) under Modestobacter marinus. RNAcentral's name for it is "tRNA-Gly". It matches the Rfam family "tRNA". Rfam says of the family: Transfer RNA (tRNA) molecules are approximately 80 nucleotides in length. Their secondary structure includes four short double-helical elements and three loops (D, anti-codon, and T loops). The record is from RNAcentral. Lineage: Bacteria; Bacillati; Actinomycetota; Actinomycetes; Geodermatophilales; Geodermatophilaceae.
GCGCCCUUAGCACAGCGGAGAGAGCAGGUGCCUUCCAAGCACUUGACCGCAGGUUCGAUCCCUGCCGGGCGCGCCA